RNAcentral lists this transfer RNA (77 nucleotides) under Pseudomonas sp. FW306-2-2C-D06B. RNAcentral's name for it is "tRNA-Arg". It matches the Rfam family "tRNA". From Rfam's summary of the family: Transfer RNA (tRNA) molecules are approximately 80 nucleotides in length. Their secondary structure includes four short double-helical elements and three loops (D, anti-codon, and T loops). Lineage: Bacteria; Pseudomonadati; Pseudomonadota; Gammaproteobacteria; Pseudomonadales; Pseudomonadaceae. The record is from RNAcentral.
GGACUCAUAGCUCAGCUGGAUAGAGUACUCGGCUACGAACCGAGCGGUCUCAGGUUCGAAUCCUGCUGAGUCCGCCA